RNAcentral lists this long non-coding RNA (7264 nucleotides) under Jatropha curcas. RNAcentral's name for it is "long non-coding RNA (JCUR_LNC001481)". The record is from RNAcentral. Lineage: Eukaryota; Viridiplantae; Streptophyta; Magnoliopsida; Malpighiales; Euphorbiaceae.
UUUUCCAUUAUCGCUAUUUAUAGUUGCGUAUGGGUAUCCAGCCAUUACCAUUUGGAGCUCUGAUUCCAGCUUCAAUGGAGACAUUGUCCAACUCGGAGUCCUGCAAUGGAGAGAGCAAAGUUUAUGCUGUCAUUCUUGAUUUGGAUGGAACCCUUUUGGAUACAGGUUUUCUUCUAGUCCAUUUUUAUUUUCAUUUUUAUUAGGUUCUUUUCUCUAGGACAGAGCAGUUUUUGGUAAAACUGACUGAAUCCAAUCGAACCGAUCAAUUUGGUUCAUAAGAUUUCUAAGAAAGUCAAAUCAGUUUUGAUUGUAAUAGAAUUUGAAAUUUUUUGAUUUGAUUCAAUUUAAUAAAAAUGCUAAAAAUGAACUUGAUUUAACACAAAAAUCAAACUGAAUCAAAUUGAUUCGGUUCGGUUUGAUUCAAAAUAGGCUUUAAAGAUUUGAUUUGUACUACGUUCAAUUUAAUUUGAAUUGAACCGAGGGAAUGAUGAUCUCUAAUUUUUUUUCUCUAUAUAAGAUCUUAAUAUUUUUAUUAUUUUUAUUAUUUUGUUAAUGUGAAGAGAGUGCUACAAAGGGUGUUCUGAAAGAAUUUUUGGCCAAGUAUGGGAAAGAACUGGACAAGGAAAGGGAAGAAAGUAAGAGGUUGGGGAUGACUCUGCAGGACUCGGCAGUUGCCAUUGUUAAGGAUUAUGGUCUGCCUCUAACACCUGACCAAUUCAUCCAUGAAAUCAUGCCCAUGUAUCGUCACAGGUAUGUUUGUUAUUGGUAUUAUUAUUCAAUUUUAGUUAUUUAUAUAUGUUUGAGUAUUUUAACUUUUUGAUAGUUUGAUAUAUAAUAAAUGUUAGGUGUUCGGUAAAUUAUUUGUUUUUAAGAAGAAAUCAAGUUAGAAAUUUCAUUAAGAGGAAACUGUAUACUGAUAUAGGAUACCAAUCAUUAUGUUUCUAUAUUUUUAUAUAAAAAGUCUAAUAAUAAAUCACUUAUACAAGAAAUAAAAAACUCAAUCUUAAUUUGAAGUAUAUGAUCGAGUUGACAUAAUAUAAUAUUUGUUGCAUAUGCAAUCGCUUGCUCUACUUAAUGGCUAUUCGUGGCAAUUGUUUGACUUCAUAGUUUUCCUACAAGUCCGAUCUGAUCACUUCUAAAUUUCUUCCUCUAUUAAAGAGAAAAUCUAUACUUUUUUCUGCAUAAUUAUCUAAAUAACAAAAUACCCUAAAUAAAAUCACCAUAAUAAAACAGAUAACUAUAACUCAGAACUAGAUCUAAGAACAAAAUCUCAAGAUAUGGCAAUAAUAAAUCUCAAUAUUUGAAUAACAGUAACUCAUGUCUAUUAAAAAGAUACAAAACAGGAAAUAGGGUAAUUACCGGUAAGAGCUCACUGGUGGUCAUAAGAGAAAGAAGAAAAGAGAACUUUUAAGUUUUUGGAAGGAAGAGAGCUUUUAAGUUUUGUAAAAUUUUUUAUUAAAAAAUUAAGAAUUCAGUAAAACGUAAAUUUGAGGGCUUCUAUUUUAAUUGUAAUAUCUAAUGAUGGAGACAGUUUUUUUGGUGGACUUAAAUAAAUUAAUCUUUUUAAUACGACCAACAUAUUUAUAUAUGCAGUUCUUUAUAUAAACUUAUCACAAUCAAGUAAAUAUAAAAAUAUAAUUUUUUUUUUUUUUUUUUUUGUGAAUUCCACCACGUUUUAUCCAAAAUUAGCUACCAGUUAUGUUAAUAGUUUCUGAAUCAAAAUAAAACUGCUUCUGCUUUGUAUAGCUUUGGAAAUAAAAUAUAUAUAUAUAGCAUAUUCUUUGAGAAACUGAAAAUUAAAGCACCUUCAAAAUUUAAAAAUUUACUUAAAGAUAUAGCUUUUGCAGCAUUUUGUUGUAAUCUUAUAUAUAUAUAUUCUUCAAUCUGAUAGGUGGUCACAUGCUAGAGCUUUACCAGGUGCUAAUCGUCUUAUCAAACAUCUGUGGAAAAAUGGAGUGCCAAUUGCUCUUGCUUCGAACUCCUCCACAGAAAAUAUAGAUGCCAAAAUCUCUCAUCAACAAGGUUAUAUUUCUUUUACUUGUUUGAACUUCCACCGGAAAAAAAAAAAAAAAACAAAAAAAGAAACUAAUUGCAUUCUCAAUUGACUCUUAAAUCCUUAACUAUUAAAAUUAUUUUUAUUAAAUACUUUGAUUUGUAAAACUGUACCUAUUAAAUAUAAUUUUACUCAAUUUUCAAUUUCUACCUAAAAAUUUAUAAAUGCGAUACUUUAAUGCUUUUUUUGAUAUAAUUUAUUCAAAUAUGAUUUCACAUUUUUUUAAUCAUUCAAUAAGUGUGUAAUAAGUAUAAUUUUUAUAAAUUAAGUAUUCAACAGGUAUAAUUUUAUAAAUUGAAGUAUUAAAGUAAUUUAAGAUACAUGCAUUAAUUUCAGAAUCAAUCGCUUUGUAGUAUAUCCAAGUCAUUUAUUCAUCAUUCAUACAAUUUAAUAUUUAUUCUCAAAUUUCUAUAAAAUAUAUUCAUGUAUUAACACAUUGUUAUUACAAAUUAAAAGGGUAAAGGUAAAUUAAAUAAGAGGUUAGGAUUCAUAAGAUGAAAAUGUGUGAUAUGAGCAAUACUUACACUUGGGUCAAACAAUACUAAAAGAUUAGUACUAACCAAUUAGUUAACUUGCCACCCUCAUAUGCCCGUUAUGGAUUUAUUAUUUAGUUCACAUAGAAUUCUUAACAAUUAUUUAUGGAUUUACACAUCAAUACCGAAUUUAUAUUCAUAGAUAGCAUGUAAUUUAAAUCAUGUAUUUUGAAUUUCAAUUAACGUUCAUAAUCCUCAUAUCAUAUUGCUAUCCAAAAUCACACCUCAGGACUUUUAUGAUUAGCCAAAGCGGCAUCUGAACAUUUAUGAUUUUCAUCAAUUUUAGGCUUUAUACCUCUAAUAAUAUCAAUCUUUUAUAAGAAAAUAAAAAAUUUUAUAUAUAUAUAUAUAUAUAUAUAUAUAAAAUAUCCCUUGUUUAAAAUAUAUGAAUUUCAUAAAAUUUUAUGGAAUGCAUUUAGAAAUCUAUAUUUUUGUGUUUGGAAUAAAAAAAAAGUAUAAAUUUCAAUUCCAAGAAUUUAAAUCCAGGAAUUGAACAUAACUACCUUAAAUCUCACAAAAAUAAGUGAAAUUUUCAAAUGAAUUUCACAAAACUAAACACUCCAAUUUUUUGUGACAAAACUACCCUUUCCUUCUACAACGUCAAUUUUAAAAUUCUUUUUACUUAUUUAAAAAUCUAGAAUAGUGUCUAAAAUAUAAAAUAUGCAAUUCCACAAUAAUUCUACCAAUUGUAGAAAUUAAUAUUAUAAGAGAUAAAAAAAAUAAAAAUCUAAUGGUUGAUUCUUUUAUGAAAUCUUGGUACAAUGAGUUUUAAAACACCAGUUGAAUUAAACAGUCACUCAAAAGUUAAAAUUUUCUCAUGAAGUUCUUUGCAUAUUUAGUUAAUUCUCAGCUGGAGGUAUAAUAUCAAUCACUCGACAUCCCUCAAUGGCUUAAAAAAACAAGAAAGAAGUAAAAAGCAUGAGCACCUGAAUACAGAGAAUUAAACACAUAUAGUCUAUACAUGGAGAAACAAAAAUGAAAAGGAGAAUAAUUGAUUGAUAAUAAAGGAUAAUAUUAGAUUUCAAAAUUAAAUUUAAUUUAGAUUUCAAAAUUGAAUUAAUUUAGAUUUUAUCUGCUUACUGAAUAUUAGAUUAGAUUAAAUUUGUAAAAGAAAAAAAAUAUUCAAAAGUUAUUAAAAAAUAAGAAAAUUUAUAAAAAAAAUAAAAAGUAAAGCUCAAACGAUAGAAUGCCAAGUCAGCUUUCUAGAGUUUUUUUUCUUCGGGAUGGAUGGAUAUAUAUAUAUAUAUUGUAUAUAUAUUAGUUAAAUGAAGAAGACAUUUUACACAUUUUAGGUUUUGAACGGAGACAUUUUAUACAAAUUAAAGAUAACUAUUAUGAUGAAUGUUAUUAAUUAUUUUAUAUAUUAUAUUUAUAUAAUUAAUUAAUUAAUUAGGGUGGAAUGUGAGUGUAUUUAUUUAUAUGAAAUUUAUUAUUUAUAUCUUAGUAAAAAGCAACUUAUGAUAUUGUAUAUAAUAAAUAUAAUUGGUGUUUGUUAUUUGUUUUUGUUAAAUUAUUAUGUCAAUGGUAUUUUAGAAAAUAAAGACAAAUGAAUUUUUAUUUAAGAGUUUAUUCCAAAUAUAGUUUCGUAGAAUUCAAUUGAACUCCUCAUUUUAAAUUAAACAUACCAAAUAUGAUAAAUUCAUUUAUAAAUAAAUUCUACUUGGAAUUCAUUUAUAAAUGAAUUCUUCAUCUAUGAUUCAUUUGUUCCAAACAUAUUGUUGAUGUAGAAUUCUUUUCCACCAUUAAAUUUAGGAUAGAUAAAUAUAAACCAUUUGAUCUAAACUAAACGAAGUGACUUAGAAAUAAGUUAUCAAAAGUAGAGGUUUUCCAUUUUUUUUUUCAAUAUAUCAAAAGUAGUUAAAAUCUAUAAAAAUAGCAUAUUUAUUUUUUAUUUAAUAUCCACCUUUUCUUUCCUGUUAAUAGAUAUAAAAGUAAUUAUUUAAUGGUGUGAAUUUAAAUAUUAUUUUCAAUACAACUAUAAUUUUUUGUCAAAAUAAAUAAUUAUCUAAUAUAUCAAACUCAUUUACCCAAAAUAAAUUAUUUAAAAUUCUAAUAAAUAAUUAUAAAUUUUUAUUUAUUUUAUUCAAAAUUUUUAGCAUGUAUUUAUACAAUUAAAAUUGUAUUAUGUACAUGUCAUUAUCUUUAAUAUAACAUUUUAAAUUGAGAAAACUAAUAAUGUUUGACUUAAAAUUUAUCUCCUUUUAUAAUAUUUAAUAAACCCAUGUGUCCAAAAAAUUAUAUAAAUGGAACCAUAUUAAUUGUAUUUUAUUGUAUUUAUUUGAGUCUUAUGAAAAAUAACUUUAUAUUAAAGUUAAAACAGAAGGUGAGAUUUUAAAUAAUUUAAUUUUUCUUUCGUGUAUAUAUAGAUAAACAAACCAUGUGAGGUUAUUUUCAUAAUAUCUCUUAAAAUGUGCUAAAUUGUAACUUUUGAUUAUGUGAUAAUUUGCAUAAAUAUUUAUAAAUUAAUUUUAGAUGUUCAAAAAAAAAAAUAUUAGUCAAAUAACAAUUGUUAUGCAUAAUAUUUCUUCCAUGGAGUAUGCAAAGUAAAUAUGUACUUAUUCUAUUAUUUUGUUUAAUUUAAUAUUAUGCAUAAAUACUAUAGUAUAAAUACUCUUUUUAUAUUAUUUAUAUAAGAGUAUAAUACUAUUAAAUCAAACCAUAUAAACAAUAUUUAUAGAAUAGUUUAUAAUAUUUCAUUAUGUUUUUGUCACUUACUCUUGCAUACUUUUUAUACUUGUUAUGGAAUAAAAGAGAAAUAGGGAAAAGAAAAUACAGUUAAGAAAUAUAAAAAUAAAUGGCUUAAUAUAUUGUUUCACUCUCAACUUUAGGUUUUGUUGCAAUUUCACUUCAAUUUGGCCUUUAUGUCAAUUUCACCAUGAAUUUAAACCUUCUGUUGCAAUUUCAUUUCAAUUUGACUUUAUACCAAUUUCACCUUGAACUUUGACAUUUUAUUGCAAUAAUACCUUAAAUUAUAAUUAGGACUUAAAUUGUAAAUAAAAAAUAGAUUCAUUUUUUACUUUAGACUUGGAUUAACUUAAUACAUUUAUGUGAGUGAAGGAAUUUGGGUUAAUAGUAUGGACAAUUUCUAUUAUUAUUUUUAAUAUUUUUAUAUUGUUUCUUUAAUUGAUAAUAAAUAAUAUUUAAAAAUUAAUUUUUUGAUACAUGAAUGUUUUUUUUUAAAUAGAACAUAAUUAUUUUUUAUAUUCCAUUUUGAUAAAAAAUGCUACAAUUUCUAAUAGUUUAGGAGUCAAAUAAAUUGAUAGUAGCUUUAUUUUAGAUUUUAUAAUUAUUUUAAAAUUUAUAUUAAAAUCCAACCAUAAUAAUAAUUAUAUUCUAAUUUUUUUAAAAAACAAAAGUUCAUAUUUCAAAUAAUUCAUUUUUAAAUAUUACUUAUCAUCAAUAAAAGAAAGAAUUUAAAAUAUUAAAAUAAUAAUAGAGAUUGUCCUUAUUAUUAAUCUAAUCUCUCUGAUUAAUCGAUCGAGCCCUAGAUUAAAAGUGAAUCUAUUUUUUAUUUACAAUUUAAGUCUUAAUUAUAUAAUUUUUGGUGUGCUUUGUUUGGAAAUAUCAUUUGUAGAGAAAAAAAAAAAGAUCAUUUGUGUUGGUAAAAUCAAUUGGUUAUAUUAAGAAGGUUGCUCAUAUUUACAGAGAAAUUAAUAAAUGUGCUGAUUGGUUAUCUAAGGAGGCUUCUUCUCUACCUUAUUGAGUUUAAGUUCUUAAAGAUCCUCCUCCUAAUUUAUUGCCUUUUGCUUAGUUAUGAUGGUCAUAGUAUAGCUGUUAGUGUUUACUGGUAGAGUUUCUAGCUAGUUUUGUUUAAUUCUCUCUUUUACUUUUUAAUUAAAGGGAAAUUAAUUAUUUAGUCCUUCAUAUACGACGAAAUUAUCUAAAUAAUGUUUUCAUUUUGAAUAAAUAUUCAGCGUGUCCCUCGUGUUUGCUUACGUGAUUCUGAGUAGUUUUUCUGUCUAAUUUUGAAAAUUUUUUCCGUUAAGACAUAAGAAAAUGACUAAAAUAGUCAGGGCAAUAUGAAAGCUACGUACCUUCUCUCCCUCCCCGCCAUAUUCGCCUGCACUGCCUCCACCAUCGCCGCUUCUGCCAUUACAUCGCCACCCUCGCCAUCACCAUCUUCAAAGUCACCAAAAUCUGCAAACUCUUCCAUCACCAUCACCAUCGCCACCGCCUCUGCCUCUGUCUCUAUCUCCAUCUCCACCUCCACCUUCACCUCCAUCUUCACCUCCAGCCCGUUCCCAAAGUCAUCGCUGCUCCUUGCGCUACACACCGGUGACAUCGAAUUCACCGGCGUUGACCGUUCAUUGGAGUUCGUGCCUCUCUGAAGUCUUCUUAAUUCUUGAGCUUCUUUAGCUAUUUAUUUUGUGGAUCUGAAUGGUUUCUUUCAUGGGUUGUCAUUACUUUACUCUAUUUUAUCUCAAAGGCUGAGUUUCAGUUUGGUUCAGCGCUCAGAUCUUGUAUUUUCGACUUUUUUUUGUCUAAAGCUUUGAUUUUUGGACUCUGAUUUGUAUCUAGUUUAAGUUUUUCAUUUUCUGCUUCACCUAUAUCUUGUUAAUUCUACUGUAUGUGCUACUAUCAUUUAUAGAUUUGAAUGUUCUAUUUUUUUUAGGGUUGAACAGAGCAUCCAUGAGUCUGUAAUUUGGAGAUUAAUGCAUUUGCUUUGUUUUCUCAUCAA